GUGAUGGCGUGCCUUUUGUAGAAUGAACCGGCGAGUUGCGAUUUCAUGCGAGGUUAAGCCGCAAAGGCGGAGCCGCAGCGAAAGCGAGUCUGAACAGGGCGUAUGAGUAUGAGGUCGCAGACCCGAAACCAGGUGAUCUACCCAUGUCCAGGGUGAAGGUAAGGUAACACUUACUGGAGGCCCGAACCCACGCACGUUGAAAAGUGCGGGGAUGAGGUGUGGGUAGCGGUGAAAUUCCAAUCGAACCUGGAGAUAGCUGGUUCUCUCCGAAAUAGCUUUAGGGCUAGCCUCAAGGGAAGAGUCUUGGAGGUAGAGCACUGUUUGGACUAGGGGCCCCUCUCGGGUUACCGAAUUCAGACAAACUCCGAAUGCCAAAGACUUAUCCUUGGGAGUCAGACUGCGAGUGAUAAGAUCCGUAGUCAAGAGGGAAACAGCCCAGACCGCCAGCUAAGGUCCCCAAGUAUACGUUAAGUGGAAAAGGAUGUGGAGCUGCUUAGACAACCAGGAUGUUGGCUUAGAAGCAGCCAUCAUUGAAAGAGUGCGUAAUAGCUCACUGGUCGAGUGGCUCUGCGCCGAAAAUGUAACGGGGCUAAACGUAUCACCGAAGCUGCGGAUGGACACCUUAUGGUGUCCGUGGUAGGAGAGCGUUCUAAGGGCGGUGAAGCCAGACCGGGAGGACUGGUGGAGCGCUUAGAAGUGAGAAUGCCGGUAUGAGUAGCGAAAGAAGGGUGAGAAUCCCUUCCACCGAAUGCCUAAGGUUUCCUGAGGAAGGCUCGUCCUCUCAGGGUUAGUCGGGACCUAAGCCGAGGCCGAAAGGCGUAGGCGAUGGAUAACAGGUUGAUAUUCCUGUACCACCUCACUCCGUUUGAGCGAUGGGGGGACGCAGGAGGAUAGGGUAAGCGCACAGCUGGUUGUGCGUCCAAGCAGUUAGGCCGGUGACGAGGCAAAUCCCGUCACCAUUAAGGCGGAGCUGUGACGGCGAGGGAAAGAUAGUACCGAAGUUCCUGAUUCCACACUGCCAAGAAAAGCCUCUAGCGAGGAGACAGGUGCCCGUACCGCAAACCGACACAGGUAGGCGAGGAGAGAAUCCUAAGGUGAGCGAGUGAACUCUCGUUAAGGAACUCGGCAAAAUGACCCCGUAACUUCGGGAGAAGGGGUGCUCUUUGGGGUGCAUAGCCCUGAGGAGCCGCAGUGAAUAGGCCCAGGCGACUGUUUAGCAAAAACACAGGUCUCUGCGAAGCCGCAAGGCGAAGUAUAGGGGCUGACGCCUGCCCGGUGCUGGAAGGUUAAGAGGAGGGGUUAGCUUACGCGAAGCUCUGAAUUGAAGCCCCAGUAAACGGCGGCCGUAACUAUAACGGUCCUAAGGUAGCGAAAUUCCUUGUCGGGUAAGUUCCGACCCGCACGAAAGGCGUAACGAUCUGGGCACUGUCUCAACGAGAGACUCGGUGAAAUUAUAGUACCUGUGAAGAUGCAGGUUACCCGCGACAGGACGGAAAGACCCCGUGGAGCUUUACUGCAGCCUGAUAUUGAAUUUCGGCACAGCUUGUACAGGAUAGGUAGGAGCCUUUGAAGCCGGAGCGCCAGCUUCGGUGGAGGCGUCGGUGGGAUACUACCCUGGCUGUGUUGAACUUCUAACCCGCACCCGUGAUCCGGGUGGGAGACAGUGUCAGGCAGGCAGUUUGACUGGGGCGGUCGCCUCCUAAAGAGUAACGGAGGCGCCCAAAGGUUCCCUCAGAAUGGUUGGAAAUCAUUCGCAGAGUGUAAAGGCACAAGGGAGCUUGACUGCGAGACCUACAAGUCGAGCAGGGACGAAAGUCGGGCUUAGUGAUCCGGUGGUUCCGCAUGGAAGGGCCAUCGCUCAACGGAUAAAAGCUACCCCGGGGAUAACAGGCUUAUCUCCCCCAAGAGUCCACAUCGACGGGGAGGUUUGGCACCUCGAUGUCGGCUCAUCGCAUCCUGGGGCUGUAGUCGGUCCCAAGGGUUGGGCUGUUCGCCCAUUAAAGCGGUACGCGAGCUGGGUUCAGAACGUCGUGAGACAGUUCGGUCCCUAUCCGUCGCGGGCGCAGGAAAUUUGAGAGGAGCUGUCCUUAGUACGAGAGGACCGGGAUGGACGCACCGCUGGUGUACCAGUUGUCUUGCCAAAGGCAUCGCUGGGUAGCUAUGUGCGGACGGGAUAAGUGCUGAAAGCAUCUAAGCAUGAAGCCCCCCUCAAGAUGAGAUUUCCCAUAGCGUCAAGCUAGUAAGAUCCCUGAAAGAUGAUCAGGUAGAUAGGUUCGAGGUGGAAGCGUGGCGACACGUGGAGCUGACGAAUACUAAUCGAUCGAGGACUUAUCCUA
This is a ribosomal RNA of Bacillaceae bacterium, 2336 nucleotides long. It matches the Rfam family "Bacterial large subunit ribosomal RNA", at positions 593 to 2925 of the family's 2925-position model. Lineage: Bacteria; Bacillati; Bacillota; Bacilli; Caryophanales; Bacillaceae. The record is from Rfam.